UAACACAUGCAAGUCGAACGGCAGCGGGUAGGAAGCUUGCUUCCUAUGCCGGCGAGUGGCGGACGGGUGAGGAACACAUCGGAAUCUACUCCGUCGUGGGGGAUAACGUAGGGAAACUUACGCUAAUACCGCAUACGACCUAAGGGUGAAAGUGGGGGACCGCAAGGCCUCACGCGAUGGAAUGAGCCGAUGUCCGAUUAGCUAGUUGGCGGGGUAAAGGCCCACCAAGGCGACGAUCGGUAGCUGGUCUGAGAGGAUGAUCAGCCACACUGGGACUGAGACACGGCCCAGACUCCUACGGGAGGCAGCAGUGGGGAAUAUUGGACAAUGGGCGAAAGCCUGAUCCAGCCAUGCCGCGUGGGUGAAGAAGGCCUUCGGGUUGUAAAGCCCUUUUGUUGGGGAAGAAAUCCUGCUGGCUAAUACCCGGCGGGGAUGACGGUACCCAAAGAAUAAGCACCGGCUAACUUCGUGCCAGCAGCCGCGGUAAUACGAAGGGUGCAAGCGUUACUCGGAAUUACUGGGCGUAAAGCGUGCGUAGGUGGUGGCUUAAGUCCGUUGUGAAAGCCCUGGGCUCAACCUGGGAAUUGCAGUGGAUACUGGGUCACUAGAGUGUGGUAGAGGGUGGCGGAAUUCCCGGUGUAGCAGUGAAAUGCGUAGAGAUCGGGAGGAACACCCGUGGCGAAGG
This 685-nucleotide ribosomal RNA is filed under the name Pseudoxanthomonas sp. S7-07. Its description in RNAcentral is "bacterial SSU rRNA". It matches the Rfam family "Bacterial small subunit ribosomal RNA", at positions 49 to 721 of the family's 1533-position model. Lineage: Bacteria; Pseudomonadati; Pseudomonadota; Gammaproteobacteria; Lysobacterales; Lysobacteraceae. The record is from RNAcentral.